This 991-nucleotide long non-coding RNA is filed under the name Homo sapiens (human). RNAcentral's name for it is "HSALNT0303039". Lineage: Eukaryota; Metazoa; Chordata; Mammalia; Primates; Hominidae. The record is from RNAcentral.
GUAAAGCUGAUGGUGCUGUUCACAUCAGAAAUUGCAGCACUGAAGAACAGAGUUCAUGCAGACUUUUACAACAUGCAUCAGCUACAGCAUUUGUUUGUUGAUGGUACCAGCUGUCAAAAACCAAGCAAGUGGCAGUGCUAGAGGUGCCACAAAAGUGCGAAGGAAGUGUCAGGCUGGAUGUCAAAAUGAACACCUUGGAGAACUGGAUGAUGGAACAGACGGUAAAAAUCAGCUAAACAUCAGAGAAAAUGGAGGAAGAGGUCAAAACUGUGAACAGGAACUAGAAGAAAGUGUAGCAGAAAAAGACUUGUCACAAACUUCGAGAGAUUUGGAGAAAAUGAUGUCAAAACACAUCUUCCUCAAGCCCAUGCUGAGUAUCUCUGAUUUGGUUAAUUUCUUGACCCAGAGAUGCUGGGUGGCCUCUGGCCGCUGACCUCCUGAUUGCCAUCCCUCCCCCAUCACCACAACUCAAUAAUCAAACCAGCAACUGAGGAGUUACUCUACACUCUUCUUUACCUCCCAACCACCCCGUUCCAGCUGCUAAUCAUCAUGCUGAUUCUACCUGUAAAAUACAGCUCGAUUUGUUUGGUUUUCUCCAUCUCCACAGCUGGCACCCUCUCUACGUCUCUGCCAUCUGUCACCUAGACAACACAGCAUCUUCCAAAUGAGUGCCUCUAUUUCCAGGGUGAUCUUAAAACAGAAAUCAGAUUUUCACCCCUGCUGAAUAUCCUUCAGGGUCUCUUCUCUGCACCCAGCUGGAAUCCAAACACUGGUCCAGGAAGCCCCGCCUGCCUCUCCUGCCUCACCCAGAUGGCUCUACCCUUUGCCCACCUCACUUCAGCCACAGUGGCCUCACCUAAGUGCCUCCACAUUUGGUAUCUAUUCAUUCUCUAGCCAGUGCACCUCAGAAUGCCUGGAAUUCAGCUGGGCAUGGUGGCCCAUUCCUGUAAUUCCAGCACUUUGUGAGGCCAAGGUGGGUGGAUCACUUGAG